ACAUGAGUUAAAAGUAUUAAUGGUUCAAAAGACGGCUGAGCAAAUGGAAAUGCUCAAUGAUGGGCUUUCGGAAUCCCAUGACGUCAGAAGAUUUAUGCAGCUAAGCGCCAUAAAUAUUUGGAGCUACAUAUGGGCGACUUAAUAUACCUGAAAAUAAGGACAUUUCAAGAGGGGCCUAAGACUCAGAAGAUAAAGGAGCUUAAACCGAGACACAUGGAAUUGUAUCCUGCACUGGAGUGGAUUGGAUUAUUUGCUUGCAGUUACUUUAUCAGCAGUAUAUCAGCCUUCUAGUACUUGGUUCAUAUGACAGCAUUGCAAAAGUUGAGAAGGCGCUAUAACUAUUUUGCAGUAGACAUCAAGUGAGUUCAUAAAGAUUUUAUGAACCUUAUCAUCUAUUGGAGAUUUUGGAUCAUCAAGAGAAAACAGUUCGGGGAAUGUCGACUGUGUUUGUCCGAGUUCAUUGGGAGGGAGAUAAGACCCAGGAGGAGACCUGAAAGGUCGAGCGAAGAUUAGUAUUCGAGGUUUUGCUAUGAUGACAUUGGGCACGUUAGCUUAUGACAUGAAUUCGGGGACGAAUUCCUUAUAAGUGGAGGAGAAUUGUAAUGACCCACCACUCCCACCAUCUCCACUUCUUUCUCCAACCCCACCACUUCCAACUUCUUCUCCACCAUCUCCACCUUCUUCCCCACCACCUCCAUCUUCUUUAAAAUUAAGAAAAAGAGAGAGAGAGAGAGAGAGAGAGAGAGAGAGAGAGAAAGAGAGAGAGAAGAAGAAGAAGAAGGGAGAAAGCUCACCUGAGCUCGUCGCCGGAGCCACCACACGCCAGGACGUCGUAAAGCUCGUCACCACCAUCAUCCGCAACCAAAGGUAACCGGAAACCGCCAUAUUUUUGAGUUUAGUUUCGGCCGUUUUGGUAAAUCGACCAUAACUUCUUAACCGUUGCGAAUCUCGUGCAUCCAAGCCCAUCAUCGUGUUCCUCUCGUCGAGACGAAGCCGUAGACACCAAGCACGCCUCAAACGGAGCCCGGACGCAGCCGUACGCGCCUCCAGAAAACCGCCCUUCGCGCGCGCGUGAAACGCACGCGCCGCCGCCGGAAAUCGUCGCCACCGCAGCUCCGCCGCCGGACCACCGUCCGCCGCCGCAGCUCCGCCGUCGCCGCCGGCCAACUUUCCGGUAAGCCGCCGCCGCAGCUCCGCCGUCGCCGCCGGUGACCGACACCGGUGACUCACCGGCGACUCGGUCAACUCGGCCGAGUCAACUCAGUGAGUCAACUCGGUUGACUCGGUUAACCGGUUGGUUAGCCGGUUUAAAUUGAUUUUGGUUCGGUUAGGGUAAACCGGUCGGUUUAGUCAAAUCGAUUUCCGGGUUGACUUUGACCGGGUUGACUUUGACCAGCGGGUUGACUUUUUUCGAAAACCUUGACCAGUUCCGUUUUCGACCGUUCGAAAGGCGUUCUGACUCAGAAUUUCGAUCUGAUUUCAGAUAUGGAGUCUAUUUGAGCAGCUGGAGUUCAUAGACAACACUUUUCUAUUGCUAAGGUGAGGGUCUAUUCCCGAACUCCUCUUAUUCGGCUUAGGACCUCGAAUAAGUAUAAUUUAUUUCUAAUGUGUUCCGUCUGUGUGAAAUCGAGUCUAUCAUUGCUUGUUUAGUUUUAGGUUCUUUGCAUAAACCGGAACUAGGGGGUUAGAGGAUUCAACAUUGAUUGUUUCACUUAAUGUAAAUUCUUAGCUAGGAUUGUUUUUGUUUGGAGACGGAUACAGAGUCGGACUGCUGUAUGCCGGAUUGUAUGGAGGUCACAGCCAACUUUAGUCGACCGGUUGAGCUGUAGACUGGAAGUGUCGAUAAAUCGUCUACGGGCGUGUGUUACCGAGCACUUUUUCGGUGUGUGUAUGAACCGAGCACCUUUUCGGUAGUGUUUUGGCCUGUUAGUGGGCGGCGAGUGUGCACCUCGCUAGGACCAUUGUUUGUUGCUUGAGUACUUUAGGUACUGUGUUUGACAUGCAUUAGAAUUAAAUUAUAUUUAUUCGGAGUGCUAUGUCCGGGUCCAUGGACUUCGGGGUAGCAUCCCAUACCUCACUGAGCGAUUCCCCUGUCGCUCACCCCUCACUCUUCCCCCUUUCAGGUGAGACAAACAAGUAUGUGAUAUUUGGACGGACUUGGUGCUACUGGACUUUUCUUUCGGAUUUUAUUUGGGCAUGGGUGAGAGUUGUCGGGUUUAUGGGCUUUUAUAUUACAGGAUAUUGUUGGUGGCCCGUCGUCCUUAGUGUCAGGGAGACGGGUAUCACAUUGUUGUAUGAUGACGCGUCGGGGGUGACACGCUGUCCUCCAUAUAGGAGGUGACGGGUGUCACAGAUAAUUUCUUCAUCCUAACUCCUAUGUGAUUUAUUCAACUUAUUUGGUAUCAGAGCGGGUUCCAUCCCGGUUCCGUCCGGGAUGGCGGUCAGGGGAUUCGGUUUUCAUCGGUUUUCAACUUUAAAAAAAAAAAAACUAUAUAUUUAUUUAUACAUUUCGAAAUUCUUUUAGCACCAUUCUGUCCUGUAAUUACUAACUCAAAUGUCUCUUUCUAUGACGAUGAGUAAAAUCAUCGUCAUUCGUCCUUCGACUAAUAAGGUUCUCGACAGAUGUUCAGCAGUUGCGUGAAGUCCAAGUUCGUCAGUUUUCUCGGGAGUUAUCAGUUUCUUCGGACAUGAUUUCGAGGCUAUCCAGGAGUGGAUAUAUGACGUUUCUGCCACCAGCCCACUUCAAGCAAUCGUUCCACGAGUUUUGUUACUGGAGAUUUUGUGGUGUGUGAUAUGAGCCAUUGGUUGGCAUGUGUUGUUGUGUGUACGAGUAUAUUGACUAUUUUGGAGAUAUAUUUGUUUUGUGAACUCGUGGAGAUCGCUUUUGAAUUGGGGUGCAGCAGCUUGCGUUGUGUGGGUGUUGGAGUUACACUUUGGUAUGUUUACCAAUUUUGGCAGUGUUGAUCGUUUCAGAGAUGUGUCAGUUUGGACAACUGACAUAGGACAUUGGGAGCUGUUUAUAUCCAUCGCAGGGUACCAGUUAUGCUUGGAGGGCCGAUUUGUUCGGAUAUUCAUCAGAGAUGGAGCUACGUUUUUACGAUGUUAUCCUUGGGACGGAUUGAUUGUCACGGCAUCAAGUAGUGUUGGAUUGCCUGAUGGCAAGAGUUCCGAUUGCUGGAGCAGAUGGAAGUUGUUAGUGCAUGCAUGCUACAUACUGAGGAGUUAUGGGAUACAAGGACAUAGAGAUUUUUGACUACCAUCUCGAUGGUUAAGGCUGAUGGACAACAUGAGCUGCAGGAUCUUCCGGUUAUUGCAGAGUAUGAGGACAUAUUUGUGACCUUUGGAACGGUCAUCACAUGACACAUGAGAAACUCUUGCGAUUUGUUUGGAGCAAACAACACCAGUUUCACAAGUUUUAUACCGAUUAGCACCAACAGAGAUGACAAAGCUGAAAGAGCAUGUUGAAGAUUCAUCAGACAAGGGUUUUAUCAGACCGGGUACUUUACCGUGGGGAACAUCAUCAUUGUUGUUGUAAAGAAGAAAGGUGGGAGUUUCAAUUUUGUAUCGACUGCAAAGGUCUGAACAAAGUGACCAUUAAAGAUAAGUAUCGCUUCCGCGCGUUGAUGAAUUAUUGGAUUAUUACAGGAAGUUUAUAGUUCUUGAAGGUUGACUUGGCAUCAGAACACCAUCAGAUUACUAUAUUUGAAGAGUAUCUACUGAAUGUGAAUUUUUGUAUACAUUAUGGAUAUUAUGGGACGCAGUGAUACCAUUUGGCUCGACAAAGGCACUGUUGCAUUCAUGAAGAUAUGAAUGACGUUUUCAUGAACAUUUGGAUAGGUGUGCGAUUGUAUUCAUCGAUGACAUCCUGAUUUAUUUUGGAGAAGAAAGGAGAUUUGUGAGCAUUUCGCGGAUUGCGUUGGAUAAGCCUGGAGAGCAUCAGUUGUUCGCUAAGUUGAGGAAGUGUAGCUUCUGGCAGAGGAAUGUUGUAUUUUUGGCUGACAUGGUUUUGGAAGCAGAAUUUUGAUGGAUCAAAAGAAGAUUAAUACCGUUUCGGGGAGGUCGAAACCUAAGAGCGCUACAAAGAUCUGCCGUUCUUUUUGGGUUAAUAGUGUUCUACUGGAAGUUCAUCAAGGGUUUCACCGGUAUAGUAAUGUUAAAGACGUGGUCUGCAUGUAAAGACGUAAAGUGUGGCUGGAUAGAUUUUUGUUCAAGGAGUUUCACUGAAUUGAAGCACAACUAAUGAAGACACCAGUUUUGGGUUCUACUGAGGCUGAGGCUUACUGUGAUGUGUCAGAUACUGGAUUGGAUUUAAAUUAAGGUAUGAGGAUUAAGUCAUUCAUAUGCAUCACGCCAGAGAGGCUGUAGUGGUAUUUGCGUUAUCGUUUUGGAAAUCGUAAUUGUACGGGAAGGAAAUUCAGAUUCUCUGGGAUUAUUAGAAUGUGAAAUUUAUCUUCAUUUAUUAAAAACUUGUACUUGGACAGUGCAGUUGGAUUGAGUUUGUAGCAGGCUAUAGUCUGGAUAUCGCAUACUAUCUGGUAAGGACAACCAGGUGAUAAAUGCCUUGGGUAGGCGUAUGAGCUGUAUCUCAGGAACCAAGAAGGUUCAUGAGUUGGAGAUUUGCUAGUCUCAGGUUGGGUGUCAUUACUAUCAAUGGAGAGACAGAUGUCCUUGGGACUUUGGAGCAGGCAGUUUUGCUAUGGAGGAUACACAAGCACAAGUUAGCAUUCUGGAUUGGUUGAACAGAUCGAGAUUGGGAGUAUUGGAUAUCAUACAGCUUUGAGCAGGAUAUACUUGUACUGAAACCGAGUUUGUGUGUUGGACGAUAAGUUGUUAAGAAAAGGAAUCUUACAACAAACAUAUCACUCGUGUUUCUCUACCCAUCGGGAAGACCAAAGGGUACAAAGAUAUGAAGAGUUAACUAUAAUUGGUGUAGUAUGAAGAUGUUUGUAACUACAUUACGUCGCGGUGCCAGACAUGUUAUAUGGCAAUAACAGAGGAUCAGUCAUCUAUCAUGUUAUUUUUGAGCUUGCUUUUGCUGGAGUAGAAAUGAGGCAUGGUGAUUAUGGACAUUGUUAUUGGAUUUUAAAUCACCAUAUGUGGAAAGGAUGCCACAUGGGUAGUCAUGGAUAGACUUACCAAGUCAGCCCAUUACCUAAGUAAUUAAGAAGAUAAUCAGGGCUAAUCAAUUGGAGCAGACCUACAUUAUUGAGUUCAGGAAGUUUCAUGGAUGUCAACAUUGUAUCGGAUUGGGAAUCGAAGUUCACAUCUACAUUUCAGAAAGCCUUUCGGAAGGCACUUGGUACAAAGAUCAUAUGAGUACAUCUUAUCACCCGUUGACAUAUUGUCAGUUAGAGAGGACUAUUGAGGACUUAAAUGAUAUGUUCAGAGAUUGCGUGGGAUGGAAUUUCGGAAAGCAUCUACCUUUACCAGAGUUUGCCUACAUCGACAAUUAUCUUUCGAGUAAAAAAAAAAAAAAAAAAAAAAAAAAAAAAAAAAAAAAAAAAAAAAAAAAAAAAAAAAAAAAAAAAAAAAAAAAAAAAAAAAAAAAAAAAAAAAAAAAAAAUUACUAUACAAGGGUUAUUUAUGGUAGACCUUAUAGUAUACCACUUUGUUGGACCAAAGUGGGGGAGCGACAUGAGUUAAAAGUAUUAAUGGUUCAAAAGACGGCUGAGCAAAUGGAAAUGCUCAAUGAUGGGCUUUCGGAAUCCCAUGACGUCAGAAGAUUUAUGCAGCUAAGCGCCAUAAAUAUUUGGAGCUACAUAUGGGCGACUUAAUAUACCUGAAAAUAAGGACAUUUCAAGAGGGGCCUAAGACUCAGAAGAUAAAGGAGCUUAAACCGAGACACAUGGAAUUGUAUCCUGCACUGGAGUGGAUUGGAUUAUUUGCUUGCAGUUACUUUAUCAGCAG
This 5907-nucleotide long non-coding RNA is filed under the name Brassica napus (rape). RNAcentral's name for it is "long non-coding RNA (BNAP_LNC026281)". The record is from RNAcentral. Lineage: Eukaryota; Viridiplantae; Streptophyta; Magnoliopsida; Brassicales; Brassicaceae.